ACCAGGGUUCCACAAACCUUCUGUUUUCACAUUCUCUCUACCACCUCCUUUAUUCUAGCCUGGGUGUUUAAAAGCAAUCAUUGUCAGAAUAUGCCAUUUAAUCUGUUUUCAUUUUUUAUUGUAAAAAGAGGAUGCAAGGGCUAGCAGUAAUAUUGUAGAUGAAUAAUGAAAGAAUUCCUCACAGCUGUUCAGGGAUAUAUAUUUUUCCUGCAAUGGAGCGAGACGGAUUCCCAUCGCAGCUCGGAGACUUGUUCCAUGAAGCCCCUCAUCUGUCAUGUUCUGAGGGGAAGGGGAAGGUGGAGAAAUGUCAUUAUGGAUGUAACUGGGCUCAGAAGUGACUGGUCAAGGUUGACACUGCAGUCCUGACGGAGCUGUUUAUGGAAAUUUUCCUGGGAGGCACUGCUGGCUGGUGGGGUGGGCAGCUCCAAACAGCCCCCACUCUGUGGCUGAUUCCUAAUUCCUUUCCAAUCAGCCUGCCUUGAAGCUGGAAUAAGUCCCUCCAAGGUAGCUACCCAAGAAAAAUACCCUUGAUCUGUUCCAAACUAGAAAGACAGGAAAUCAAAACAGAUCAUUCAGUUUAGGGGAAGCCAGCUGCCAUGUUGUGAGGACCCUCAAGCAGCCCUAUGGAGAGUCCCAGGUGGCAAGGAACUCAAGCCUCCUGCCAACAGCCUGUGAGUGAGCCACCAUGGGAGUGGGCCCUCCAGCCCUAGUCAAACCUUCAAAUGACUACAAUCCCAGAAAAUGUUUUGACUUCAACCUCAUGAAAGACCAUGAGACACAACUGCCCAGGCAGAAUCACCUGAAGAGAUACCAUUUGAGUUCUGGGAGAGCUGCCUGCUGACUUCCAGAAGAUUUAUUCCUCACAUUAAUGACUGUUAGCAUAGCAGAGUGAAAUGUGCUUGAGAAGCUGUGAAAAUAGUAAUGAUCAUGGUGGUGAUCAAGGCUGAUAGGAAGAUGCUCUUGGGGAGAGUUGAAGCUUUGAUUUAUAGCUUUAGUACCAAGGAAUCACAAGCAUCUCUGUUGCAAGCCACACUGGCACCUGAUACUAAACCAUGGGGCGGUGGGGUCUUGCAUCUAGAAGGUUGCAAGAUGAGUAAGUGUUUGGAGGGGCACAGAUGCCAAGGAGAAUGUAUUAUACAUUCUAUGGUGGGGCGAUAAUGCAGUGGGGUGGGAGAAUAACAUGGUCUCAGUUCCUAGAGAAAGAAAGCCAGCUUUGUGGAGCAGAGGAGAAGAUGUGCAUAAUAGUUGGCCAUUGGGGCACCUGGGUGGCUCAGUUGGUUAAGCAUCUAUUUUUGGUUCAGGUUAUGAUUCCAGAGGAGUCCCACACUGGGUUCCUUGCUCAGUGGUGAGCCUGCUUCUCCCUGUCCCUCUGAUGUUCCCCCUACUUGUACGUGUGUUCU
Molecule: long non-coding RNA, 1400 nt
Organism: Canis lupus familiaris (dog)
Lineage: Eukaryota; Metazoa; Chordata; Mammalia; Carnivora; Canidae
Exons: 3
Source: RefSeq, a predicted model, not a curated record